AUUGAACGCUGGCGGCAGGCCUAACACAUGCAAGUCGAGCGGAUGAAGGGAGCUUGCUCCUGGAUUCAGCGGCGGACGGGUGAGUAAUGCCUAGGAAUCUGCCUGGUAGUGGGGGAUAACGUCCGGAAACGGGCGCUAAUACCGCAUACGUCCUGAGGGAGAAAGUGGGGGAUCUUCGGACCUCACGCUAUCAGAUGAGCCUAGGUCGGAUUAGCUAGUUGGUGGGGUAAAGGCCUACCAAGGCGACGAUCCGUAACUGGUCUGAGAGGAUGAUCAGUCACACUGAAACUGAGAAAGGGUCCAAACCCCAAGGGGAGGAAGCAGGGGGAAAUUUUGGAAAAGGGGCGAAAGCCUAAUCCAGCCAGGCCGGGGGGGUGAAAAAGGUUUUCGGUUUGUAAAGCCCUUUAAGUUGGGGGGAAGGGAAGUAAGUUAAACCCUGGCUUUUUGGACUUUCCCAAAAAAAGAAGACCCGGCUAAUUUCGG
This 483-nucleotide ribosomal RNA is filed under the name uncultured bacterium. RNAcentral describes it as "partial 16S ribosomal RNA". It matches the Rfam family "Bacterial small subunit ribosomal RNA", at positions 30 to 506 of the family's 1533-position model. The record is from RNAcentral.